Molecule: long non-coding RNA, 1946 nt
Filed under: Carica papaya (papaya)
Lineage: Eukaryota; Viridiplantae; Streptophyta; Magnoliopsida; Brassicales; Caricaceae
Description: long non-coding RNA (CPAP_LNC006017)
Source: RNAcentral
UUGACAAUAGCGACCUUCUUCCACGAGUUCUUGAUGUUGUCAAGAAGUCCAGCCUUGCAGGCUUGGCAGUUGAAGCAGAGAAUGUUUGGAUCGUUCUGCCAUGCAUCACAAUCCGUGUUGUUGAAUGGCCCGGUGGUUUUGGUCCAGGUUGUUGGGUUCUGAAAGGUGAAGUCACAGUCAUUUGAUGGCUUGCAGCAACCGGACUGUCAAUAAACAAACAACAUCCAUUGUCAGUUCACUACCCAAAUUCAGUGUAUCUCAGAAACCCAGUACCCAGAUAUAUAGAUUUACAUACACGUACACAUAUAUGCAUACACAAACCCAGAAUAGACGCAAAUAAAAUAUAAACACAUAACAGAUAGCAUACACUCAGAAUAAAAAUAGAGAAGAAUGCUAAUCUUAACCCUCUACACACAUAAAUCAUACACAAAACCCAGUAAAGAGCCAUAGAUAUAUGCACAUAACAAAUAAGACAGACUUAAAACAACACCGGAGAAGCAUGCUACUCUUAACCCCAAAAAAAGUUGGCGCAAAGAAAUAUUGUGAACUCUGAAAGGUUAAUGAAUCAUUGUAUCAAAGAAUUGGGAAUCCAAUUAUGAGUUUAUUUCUGCAAUAAAAAAACUGAGUAAAUUCGUUUCUGUGAUCUGCAACUUGAUCAUGGAGCCACAUAGAUUACAGAGCAAACAAGAUAAUAAAGUAGAAUGAAGGUCAUUAGUUGAAAUCCACUUAUGCCCUUGAUAUGGUCAAAAAGUUUUUCCUACGAGAAAUCAGUCUUUUUCAUGAAAACUUGAAUUUUAUUGAACAAAAGAUUCAGGUUAUGGAGCAAAAGAUUAUGUUUCCAGAUAAAGUUAACUCUAAAUAUCAAAAUAGAAAUUUACGAUGACCUUUAAUCUCACAAAAAAUAUGUUAUCUGAAAGGAGAAUAUAAAAGAAAAACAAAAAGACACACAACUUUUUAAUAAAGAACAGACAGAAUCUUUUUCUUUAAAAUUGAGGCUCUGACCUUAAUCCAAAUUCAAAAACUAUGCCAAGACACAAACAAUCGCACUUUGGAAAACACCCAUAUGCAACUCUCAUUUGGUUGCCUAACUAUGGAAGUGGGAUAGAGAAGUUAAAUUGAGAUCUCAAACAAUUGAAUCAAAACCCAAAAUUCACGUGUUAGGAAGAUAAGGUAAACACAGAUCUGAGAAGAUUGAACCCACAUAAAAAUUGAUAAUCAUUUCACAAAGACCAGCAAAAACCCAUAGAUGAAAGGUUUUCCGAAUUGUAAUCUCAGAUCCCAAACAGGUGUAAAGAGAAGAAAUGAAUCCAUACCUGAAUAGACGUCAACUGCUCGCUGAAGAAGUCGUUAACAGUAUCACUAGCAAACCUAUCAUGGAACUCGGUGCAGACCUUGCUGUCGAUCAAGCAACUCUUGAUCUUGUUCCAGUUCUUGGCGUUGCUCACUCUUUUUUGAAGCCAAUUCGAGUAAUCACCAAGCCUGUACUCCUUAUACCCUUUACCAGACAACACCUCACCCGCACCCUUGUUGGUAACGACGAAAGCGAAGAUGGUGAAGCAGAAAACGAGUACAAUCAGCAAGAACAUGACAACUAGGUAAAGCCAGAGCAGCCAUGAAACUCUGCAGCAGGCACCGAUGAGUCCGGCGAGGGAGACCAGAAGGAGGAAGACGCCGAGCACAAUCACCGGCUUAUCAAGAAAUUUCUCGCAUUCGCUGGCGCCAUUCUUGCUCAGCCAGAUUCCACCCGCAAGAAUCGGGAUGGAGAGUAGAAACGUUAGAAAAUUAAGAAUCCCGACGAGGUUGUUGCUGAGACGAAACAUGACGGUGCGAGGCGGUUGUUUGGGUAGCGAGAAAAGGAAGGGAAAGCGAAGGAAGUUUGCGAAAGCGAAAAAUACCUAGAGAGAAAAAACAGGAAAUCGGAACAAAAGAUUAUGAUGGAGAUGAUG